UGCGAGCGUGACGGCGCGAGCAGGUGCGAAAGCAGGUCAUAGUGAUCCGGUGGUUCUGAAUGGAAGGGCCAUCGCUCAACGGAUAAAAGGUACUCCGGGGAUAACAGGCUGAUACCGCCCAAGAGUUCAUAUCGACGGCGGUGUUUGGCACCUCGAUGUCGGCUCAUCACAUCCUGGGGCUGAAGUAGGUCCCAAGGGUAUGGCUGUUCGCCAUUUAAAGUGGUACGCGAGCUGGGUUUAGAACGUCGUGAGACAGUUCGGUCCCUAUCUGCCGUGGGCGCUGGAGAACUGAGGGGGGCUGCUCCUAGUACGAGAGGACCGGAGUGGACGCAUCACUGGUGUUCGGGUUGUCAUGCCAAUGGCACUGCCCGGUAGCUAAAUGCGGAAGAGAUAAGUGCUGAAAGCAUCUAAGCACGAAACUUGCCCCGAGAUGAGUUCUCCCUGAGACUUUAGGUCUCCUGAAGGAACGUUGAAGACGACGACGUUGAUAGGCCGGGUGUGUAAGCGCAGCGAUGCGUUGAGCUAACCGGUACUAAUGAACCGUGAGGCUUAACCUUACA
This 560-nucleotide ribosomal RNA is filed under the name Salmonella enterica. Its description in RNAcentral is "partial 23S ribosomal RNA". It matches the Rfam family "Bacterial large subunit ribosomal RNA", at positions 2374 to 2925 of the family's 2925-position model. Lineage: Bacteria; Pseudomonadati; Pseudomonadota; Gammaproteobacteria; Enterobacterales; Enterobacteriaceae. The record is from RNAcentral. RNAcentral also lists the same sequence under 1 other name.